GUGCAAUAUUAACAGCCGACGAUGAUAGUGCAUUCUAUCGUAGUUAUUAAGUUAACUUGACGAUUAUUGUUUACAAAUCCCCUGAAGAUGCAAUUUAUACAAUUGCGAAAUAUCGGAGAUCAAAAAUGAAAUAAAAUAAAAAACUGGCCUAAAGCUCAAAAAAACUCAUAUUAUUAAAUACAUUGGAAAAUAGGUCGAAAAAACUCACACUUAUAAUAUUUUUCUAAG
Long non-coding RNA from Musca domestica (house fly), 228 nucleotides. RefSeq lists it as uncharacterized. The transcript is spliced from 2 exons. NCBI's taxonomy places the organism in Eukaryota, Metazoa, Arthropoda, Insecta, Diptera, Muscidae. The record is from RefSeq and is a predicted model, not a curated record.